AACGAACGCUGGCGGCAGGCCUAACACAUGCAAGUCGAGCGCGCCCUUCGGGGUUAGCGGCGGACGGGUGAGUAACGCGUGGGAACGUGCCCUUUUCUACGGAAUAGCCUCGGGAAACUGAGAGUAAUACCGUAUACGCCCUUUGGGGGAAAGAUUUAUCGGAAAAGGAUCGGCCCGCGUUGGAUUAGGUAGUUGGUGGGGUAAUGGCCUACCAAGCCGACGAUCCAUAGCUGGUUUGAGAGGAUGAUCAGCCACACUGGGACUGAGACACGGCCCAGACUCCUACGGGAAGCAGCAGUGGGGAAUCUUAGACAAUGGGGGCAACCCUGAUCGAGCCAUGCCGCGUGAGUGAUGAAGGCCUUAGGGUUGUAAAGCUCUUUCAGCUGGGAAGAUAAUGACGGUACCAGCAGAAGAAGCCCCGGCUAACUCCGUG
RNAcentral lists this ribosomal RNA (433 nucleotides) under uncultured bacterium. Its description in RNAcentral is "partial 16S ribosomal RNA". It matches the Rfam family "Bacterial small subunit ribosomal RNA", at positions 29 to 507 of the family's 1533-position model. The record is from RNAcentral.